CCUACGGGAGGCAGCAGUGAGGAAUAUUGGUCAAUGGACGAGAGUCUGAACCAGCCAAGUAGCGUGAAGGAUGACUGCCCUAUGGGUUGUAAACUUCUUUUAUAUGGGAAUAAAACGUUCCACGUGUGGGAUUUUGUAUGUACCAUAUGAAUAAGGAUCGGCUAACUCCGUGCCAGCAGCCGAGGUAAUACGGAGGAUCCGAGCGUUAUCCGGAUUUAUUGGGUUUAAAGGGAGCGUAGGUGGAUUGUUAAGUCAGUUGUGAAAGUUUGCGGCUCAACCGUAAAAUUGCAGUUGAAACUGGCAGUCUUGAGUACAGUAGAGGUGGGCGGAAUUCGUGGUGUAGCGGUGAAAUGCUUAGAUAUCACGAAGAACUCCGAUUGCGAAGGCAGUUCACUGGACUGCAACUGACACUGAGGCUCGAAAGUGUGGGUAUCAAACAGGAUUAGAUACCCGUGUAGUC
RNAcentral lists this ribosomal RNA (460 nucleotides) under uncultured bacterium. RNAcentral describes it as "partial 16S ribosomal RNA". It matches the Rfam family "Bacterial small subunit ribosomal RNA", at positions 338 to 795 of the family's 1533-position model. The record is from RNAcentral.